GUUUUUGCUUGUUGGUAGA
RNAcentral lists this non-coding RNA (19 nucleotides) under Rattus norvegicus (Norway rat). Lineage: Eukaryota; Metazoa; Chordata; Mammalia; Rodentia; Muridae. The record is from RNAcentral.